AGAGUUUGAUCAUGGCUCAGGAUGAACGCUAGCGGGAGGCCUAACACAUGCAAGCCGAGCGGUAUUUAUUCUUCGGAAUAGAGAGAGCGGCGUACGGGUGCGGAACACGUGUGCAACCUGCCUUUAUCAGGGGGAUAGCCUUUCGAAAGGAAGAUUAAUACCCCAUAAUAUAUUGAAUGGCAUCAUUUGAUAUUGAAAACUCCGGUGGAUAGAGAUGGGCACGCGCAAGAUUAGAUAGUUGGUAGGGUAACGGCCUACCAAGUCAGUGAUCUUUAGGGGGCCUGAGAGGGUGAUCCCCCACACUGGUACUGAGACACGGACCAGACUCCUACGGGAGGCAGCAGUGAGGAAUAUUGGACAAUGGGUGAGAGCCUGAUCCAGCCAUCCCGCGUGAAGGACGACGGCCCUAUGGGUUGUAAACUUCUUUUGUAUAGGGAUAAACCUUUCCACGUGUGGAAAGCUGAAGGUACUAUACGAAUAAGCACCGGCUAACUCCGUGCCAGCAGCCGCGGUAAUACGGAGGGUGCAAGCGUUAUCCGGAUUUAUUGGGUUUAAAGGGUCCGUAGGCGGAUCUGUAAGUCAGUGGUGAAAUCUCAUAGCUUAACUAUGAAACUGCCAUUGAUACUGCAGGUCUUGAGUAAAGUAGAAGUGGCUGGAAUAAGUAGUGUAGCGGUGAAAUGCAUAGAUAUUACUUAGAACACCAAUUGCGAAGGCAGGUCACUAUGUUUUAACUGACGCUGAUGGACGAAAGCGUGGGGAGCGAACAGGAUUAGAUACCCUGGUAGUCCACGCCGUAAACGAUGCUAACUCGUUUUUGGGUCUUCGGAUUC
RNAcentral lists this ribosomal RNA (830 nucleotides) under uncultured bacterium. Its description in RNAcentral is "bacterial SSU rRNA". It matches the Rfam family "Bacterial small subunit ribosomal RNA", at positions 8 to 841 of the family's 1533-position model. The record is from RNAcentral.